Molecule: ribosomal RNA, 328 nt
Filed under: Trevathana doni
Lineage: Eukaryota; Metazoa; Arthropoda; Thecostraca; Balanomorpha; Pyrgomatidae
Description: partial 12S ribosomal RNA
Source: RNAcentral
AGAUACCCUGUUACUUAUAGUUAAAAUUUUUUGGAAUAGUAAUAAUAAUGAAAUUUAACGGAUUUGGCGGCAAGAUAGCUAUUUAGAGGAACCUGCCCUGUAAACGAUAAGCCACGAGAUACUCUACUUUUGUUUGUAAUCAGUUUGUAUACCGCUGUUGUCAGUCAGUUUUCUAAGAAAACUUUCUAUCAUGAUAAAAUCAAGUACUUCAAGUAAAGGUGCAGCUUAUAUAGAAGAUAGAGGUGGGUUACAUUUAAAAUGAUUAAAACAGAUAAAGAUACUGAAAAUUCUUUUGAAGGUGGAUUUAAAUGUAAAGUUUAUGUAAACU